ACGAACGCUGGCGGCGUGCUUAACACAUGCAAGUCGAGCGGUAAGGCCUUUCGGGGUACCCGAGCGGCGAACGGGUGAGUAACACGUGGGUGAUCUGCCCUGCACUUCGGGAUAAGCCUGGGAAACUGGGUCUAAUACCGGAUAUGACCUCCUAUCGCAUGGUGGGUGGUGGAAAGAUUUAUCGGUGCAGGAUGGGCCCGCGGCCUAUCAGCUUGUUGGUGGGGUAAUGGCCUACCAAGGCGACGACGGGUAGCCGACCUGAGAGGGUGACCGGCCACACUGGGACUGAGACACGGCCCAGACUCCUACGGGAGGCAGCAGUGGGGAAUAUUGCACAAUGGGCGAAAGCCUGAUGCAGCGACGCCGCGUGAGGGAUGACGGCCUUCGGGUUGUAAACCUCUUUCAGCAGGGACGAAGCGCAAGUGACGGUACCUGCAGAAGAAGCACCGGCUAACUACGUG
RNAcentral lists this ribosomal RNA (461 nucleotides) under uncultured bacterium. RNAcentral describes it as "partial 16S ribosomal RNA". It matches the Rfam family "Bacterial small subunit ribosomal RNA", at positions 29 to 507 of the family's 1533-position model. The record is from RNAcentral.